RNAcentral lists this ribosomal RNA (393 nucleotides) under uncultured bacterium. Its description in RNAcentral is "partial 16S ribosomal RNA". It matches the Rfam family "Bacterial small subunit ribosomal RNA", at positions 523 to 918 of the family's 1533-position model. The record is from RNAcentral.
AUACGGAGGAUGCGAGCGUUAUCCGGAUUUAUUGGGUUUAAAGGGAGCGUAGGUGGGAUAUUAAGUCAGCUGUGAAAGUUUGGGGCUCAACCUUAAAAUUGCAGUUGAUACUGGUUUCCUUGAGUACGGUAUAGGUGGGCGGAAUUCGUGGUGUAGCGGCGAAAUGCUUAGAUAUCACGAAGAACUCCGAUCGCGAAGGCAGCUCACCGGGCCGGAACUGACACUGAUGCUCGAAAGUGCGGGUAUCAAACAGGAUUAGAUACCCUGGUAGUCCGCACAGUAAACGAUGAAUACUCGCUGUUUGCGAUACACUGUAAGCGGCCAAGCGAAAGCGUUAAGUAUUCCACCUGGGGAGUACGCCGGCAACGGUGAAACUCAAAUGAAUUGACGGGG